This 1233-nucleotide ribosomal RNA is filed under the name metagenome. RNAcentral's name for it is "SSU rRNA". It matches the Rfam family "Eukaryotic small subunit ribosomal RNA", at positions 3 to 1250 of the family's 1831-position model. The record is from RNAcentral.
CCUGGUUGAUUCUGCCAGUAGUCAUAUGCUUGUCUCAAAGAUUAAGCCAUGCAUGUCUAAGUAUAAGCAAUCAUACUGUGAAACUGCGAAUGGCUCAUUAAAUCAGUUAUCGUUUAUUUGAUAGUACCUUUACCUGGAUAACCGUGGUAAUUCUAGAGCUAAUACAUGCUAAAAACCCCGACUUCGGAAGGGGUGUAUUUAUUAGAUAAAAAACCAAUGCCCUCUGGGCUCUUUGGUGAUUCAUAAUAACUUAACGAAUCGCAUGGCCUUGCGCCGGCGAUGGUUCAUUCAAAUUUCUGCCCUAUCAACUUUCGAUUGUAAGAUAGAGGCUUACAAUGGUAUUAACGGGUAACGGGGAAUUAGGGUUCUACUCCGGAGAGGGAGCCUGAGAAACGGCUACCACAUCCAAGGAAGGCAGCAGGCGCGCAAAUUACCCAAUGCUAAUUCAGCGAGGUAGUGACAAUAAAUACUGAUACGGGGCUCUUUCGGGUCUCGUAAUUGGAAUGAGUACAAUCUAAAUCCCUUAACGAGGAACAAUUGGAGGGCAAGUCUGGUGCCAGCAGCCGCGGUAAUCCAGCUCCAAUAGCGUAUAUUAAAGUUGUUGCCGUUAAAAAGCUCGUAGUUGAACCUUGGACCUGGCUGAUCUGUCCUCCUAAUCGAGCGCACGGAUUCGGUCGGGUCUUUCCUUCUGGGGAGCCCUAUGCCCUUCACUGGGUGUAGUGGGGAACCAGGACUUUUACCUUGAAAAAAUUAGAGUGUUCAAAGCAGGCCUUUGCUCGAAUACAUUAGCAUGGAAUAAUAGAAUAGGACAUCGGUUCUAUUUUGUUGGUUUCUAGGACCGCUGUAAUGAUUAAUAGGGAUAGUCGGGGGCGUCAGUAUUCAAUUGUCAGAGGUGAAAUUCUUGGAUUUAUUGAAGACUAACUACUGCGUAAGCAUUCGCCAAGGAUGUUUUCAUUAAUCAGUGAACGAAAGUUAGGGGAUCGAAGACGAUCAGAUACCGUCGUAGACUUAACCAUAAACUAUGCCGACUAGGGAUCGGACGGUGGUUUUUUUAUGCCCCGUUCGGCACCUUACGAGAAAUCAAAGUUUUUGGGCUCGGGGGGGAGUAUGGUCGCAAGGCUGAAACUUAAAGAAAUUGACGGAAGGGCACCACCAGGCGUGGAGCCUGCGGCUUAAUUUGACCCAACACGGGGAAACACACCAGGUCCAGACAUGCUUAGGAUUGACAGAUUG